GACGAACGCUGGCGGCGUGCCUAAUACAUGCAAGUAGAACGCUGAAGGAGGAGCUUGCUUCUCUGGAUGAGUUGCGAACGGGUGAGUAACGCGUAGGUAACCUGCCUGGUAGCGGGGGAUAACUAUUGGAAACGAUAGCUAAUACCGCAUAAGAGUAGAUGUUGCAUGACAUUUGCUUAAAAGGUGCAAUUGCAUCACUACCAGAUGGACCUGCGUUGUAUUAGCUAGUUGGUGGGGUAACGGCUCACCAAGGCGACGAUACAUAGCCGACCUGAGAGGGUGAUCGGCCACACUGGGACUGAGACACGGCCCAGACUCCUACGGGAGGUAGCAGUAGGGAAUCUUCGGCAAUGGACGGAAGUCUGACCGAGCAACGCCGCGUGAGUGAAGAAGGUUUUCGGAUCGUAAAGCUCGGUUGUAAGAGAAGAACGAGUGUGAGAGUGGAAAGUUCACACUGUGACGGUAUCUUACCAGAAAGGGACGGCUAACUACGUG
Molecule: ribosomal RNA, 495 nt
Filed under: uncultured bacterium
Lineage: Bacteria
Description: partial 16S ribosomal RNA
Rfam family: Bacterial small subunit ribosomal RNA
Source: RNAcentral